This 1572-nucleotide long non-coding RNA is filed under the name Mus spicilegus (steppe mouse). Its description in RNAcentral is "lncRNA (ENSMSIG00000028335.1)". Lineage: Eukaryota; Metazoa; Chordata; Mammalia; Rodentia; Muridae. The record is from RNAcentral.
CAAAGAGCUUCUUUCUGGCUGUAAUUUUAGAGAUCAGGGAAAACAAGCUUGGGGAACGUCCAGGGGCUUUACCUUCCAGGGAGAAACGCUCUAAGUCGGGGCCUCACAAGGGGUGUUUUAGAAAGCAAGUGGCCAGUCCUCCUCAAACACAUCAAGGUCACAAUAGACAGACAGUAGGGACCAGAAAGGUGGAAGCUAAGAAGACCCACCCUUCCCAAGGUCUUGGACCAGACUUUGAACCCGGAACUGGAUGGUGAAGCUUGAGUCAUUAAAAAAAAGUGGAGUCUGAGAUAAAGGGUCUGUCCUUUCCCCUGCGACGUUUAACAUGCACUGCAAUUUCUGAUUAAGAGGCAGUGUGAGCCAGAAGCAAAAAGCUUACCAGGCAGCAAUCAUGUCCUGGUCACCUCUGCAUUGUCCUGAAGGCUGAGCAACACCCAAGUCACAAAACCUCUUCACCGAUUGUCAUGACGACUGUUUAAAUCCAGUCUUCACACCUGACCACGAGUCUCUGCCUUUCUGAAGAUCGCGGACUUGUUUCACCCGACUCCUCCCAGCCACGUGGGGAGGGCAUGCGCCGUUCACGGAACCUUGGUUUCUCUGAUCUCGUUUUCUUUUUCCAUGUAACAUCCAUCACAAGAUGCAAAGAGGCCUCUGCGAUGGAAACCAAGAACUCUGUGCAGCACCUUCGGCUCUUGCAGAGGAAAUGUGAAUUCCUUACCUUAUGGAAAAAAGUAUUGCCCUUGUUUGGGUGAAGAACUGAUUAUAGCGGGAGAUGGAGCAGGGGACAUAUCAAGAGUGUAUGACAGCAUAUGACAGAAGACACAGCGUGUUCCUAGGAGGAGGCCCUGGAGGGCCUGUAGUCUGUGUGGGAGACUGAGAUAGACCCUAGGAAGACCUUCUGGGAGAGGGAGGAUGAAGCAAAAACGCAGAAAGCUUAACUGCGGUUGAAAAGCAUAAAAAUAACACGUCCUCCUCUCAUUUUAAAUGUUCCAAUGAAUUUCUCUUUGAGCUUUCAUGUAUAGGUGGAAGUGAAUUAACUUUCUAACUCUUGGUGUGGAUUGAUUUAAACUUGAUUUCCAGAGUGGACUUAGGGUUAAGGAAAGGCUGGACGAGGGACCGGAGAGACGGCUCAGCCCUUACAAACGCUUGCUGUAGAGGACAGGGUUCACCGACCAGCACACACAUCAGGUAGGUCACAGUCAUGGGUAACUCCAGUUCCAGAUAUCCCAUGUCCUCUUGGCCUCUGAGGACACCAGGGCACACUGGUGCACAUAGAGACAGGAAGGCACUCACAUAACACAUUUAUAGAAUCUACUUUUUCUGUUUCUUCGUGGUUUUGGUUUUGGCUGUUGUUUUGAGCCGGUCUCACACUAAAUCGCAUGCAUAGACAGUCUAGAACUUUAUAUGUAGUUCUGACUGGCCUCAAACUCAUAGUGAUCCUCCUGCCUCAGCCUCUUGGGUGCCAUCGUGUCCAGCUCAAAGUCCAGUUUUGAAAGGUUUAUUAAAAAACAACAGGCAUUCCUCCCAUAGAAGAUUUGAAAUGGAGCAGGCAUGGUAAGCCCCCGGGGGGGG